CCUGAACGCUGGCGGCGUGGCUAAGACAUGCAAGUCGAACGGGUGUAGCAAUACACCAGUGGCGGACGGGUGAGUAAUGUAUCGCUAACGUGCCCUGGAAUCUGAGAUAGCCAAUCGAAAGGUUGGGUAAUACCAGAUGAAAUAUCCUUAUCGCAUGAUGAGGAUCUCAAAGGAGCAAUCCGGUCUGGGGAGCGGGCGAUAUCGUAUCAGCUAGUUGGUGAGGUAACGGCUCACCAAGGCGACGACGCGUAGCCGGGCUGAGAGGUCGGCCGGCCACAUUGGGACUGAGACACUGCCCAGACUCCUACGGGGGGCUGCAGUAACGAAUCUUCCGCAAUGCACGAAAGCGUGACGGAGCGACGCCGCGUGUAGGA
RNAcentral lists this ribosomal RNA (374 nucleotides) under uncultured bacterium. Its description in RNAcentral is "bacterial SSU rRNA". It matches the Rfam family "Bacterial small subunit ribosomal RNA", at positions 30 to 408 of the family's 1533-position model. The record is from RNAcentral.